AAUGGCGGGUGCGGGAGUGCGUGCCAGCAAUAUGGAACUGUUUUUAAACGCCGGGGUAGAGGAGCUUCACAGCUCUGCGGGCAAAUGGAUGCCAUCGCCCAUGCGUUAUCGCAACACAGGGUUGUCAAUGUCGACGGAUGCUGAAGCGGAUGAGUACUCACGCUACGGUGUAGAGGGAGCGUCGGUUGCGGUAAUGAAAUCGAUGAUUGAACGUCAUCACGUGUAGCAACGUACCGAUUUUUACCGCGCAUCAUGUCGCCCAAUAUGAUGCUUGCUUGUACCAGGCCCCUGCAAUUUCAACAGGGGCCUUUUUUU
This 315-nucleotide non-coding RNA is filed under the name Enterobacter ludwigii. Its description in RNAcentral is "MicL sRNA". It matches the Rfam family "MicL sRNA". Rfam says of the family: mRNA-interfering complementary RNA regulator of Lpp. Transcription factor sigma E dependant sRNA. Lineage: Bacteria; Pseudomonadati; Pseudomonadota; Gammaproteobacteria; Enterobacterales; Enterobacteriaceae. The record is from RNAcentral.